This 453-nucleotide ribosomal RNA is filed under the name Triticum aestivum (bread wheat). RNAcentral describes it as "partial small subunit ribosomal RNA". Lineage: Eukaryota; Viridiplantae; Streptophyta; Magnoliopsida; Poales; Poaceae. The record is from RNAcentral.
AUGUUCUUACAUCUGACGGUACUUUCCUAUCAGUCGAUAGUCAAGGCACCCUUGGCACUCCGUCUUUUCAUGUUUCUUCAAUUGCUCAACUUUACUACACUCGGUUGUCCGUGUGUUGUGAUUCUUCUGAUGAGCCAUCUCCCUCGACUACAGUCUUCUUCUGUUGGCAACACACCACCUCCAGCUCAGCCUACUUAUGGCUUCCGAGCUAGCCCGCUUCUGCCUAUUGACCACUAUGGUUAUUGUAUAGCUCUUUCCGAGACGACUUCUUAUCCCGUAUGGCAACAUGUGAUGGCAUCGAAGAAUGAUGUUCUUGCCCACAACGGCACGUGGAAUCUCAUUUCCCUUCCUCAUCAUGCUCGUUUCAUCACUUAUAAGUGGAUCUACAAGGGUAAGACUAAUGGUUCUCUUGAGCAUUACAAAGCUCGUCUAGUGUUGAGAACAUGGUCAUGA